UAUUACAUAUAGGUAGUAUGUAGCAGGCCAUUUCGAAAACAGCCACAGUGUUUCCUCUCUGUGCUGUCAGUUCAUUGUGUCAUCUCAUGUGUUCCUUACACCUAUCUAGUUCCAGUGUUCCUUGUGAUUCCCAUCGUAUGUUCCCUGUGUGUUCAGUUGGACUUUGUGGAUAUAAUUUGCUUGGACCUUUUCACAACAAAAUCGAUUAGAUCACACUGUUUCCUGUCAGAGUGUUGCGAUUGCCUGUGAGCAACACAGUGUGCAGCAACGCUACACAACAUGGACUCCUGUAGACAUGGACGAGAGGCCGUGGAUUCGAGAAGUUCAGAUCCUGAGGUGACUCUUUGCCAACACAGCAGCUGUUUCUUGUUACAGCGCCCCACCUCAGUUACCAAAGUGUCACAUCAGAUACAAAGUGUUACAUUGUGUUCUUCUUAACACUUUGGCAGACUCUUGAGCAGACUUGAGAAUAAACUUUUCUGUACAUGUGAUAGUAAA
Molecule: long non-coding RNA, 498 nt
Organism: Notolabrus celidotus (New Zealand spotty)
Lineage: Eukaryota; Metazoa; Chordata; Actinopteri; Labriformes; Labridae
Exons: 3
Source: RefSeq, a predicted model, not a curated record